This 1120-nucleotide ribosomal RNA is filed under the name Paenibacillus sp. N3. RNAcentral describes it as "bacterial SSU rRNA". It matches the Rfam family "Bacterial small subunit ribosomal RNA", at positions 59 to 1176 of the family's 1533-position model. The record is from RNAcentral. Lineage: Bacteria; Bacillati; Bacillota; Bacilli; Caryophanales; Paenibacillaceae.
CAGUCGAGCGGAGCACUUCGGUGCUUAGCGGCGGACGGGUGAGUAACACGUAGGCAACCUGCCUGUAAGAUCGGGAUAACUACCGGAAACGGUAGCUAAGACCGGAUAGCUGGUUUCGGUGCAUGCCGGAAUCAUGAAACACGGGGCAACCUGUGGCUUACAGAUGGGCCUGCGGCGCAUUAGCUAGUUGGCGGGGUAACGGCCCACCAAGGCGACAAUGCGAAGCCGACCUGAGAGGGUGAUCGGCCACACUGGGACUGAGACACGGACCAGACUCCUACGGGAGGCAGCAGUAGGGAAUCUUCCACAAUGGGCGCAAGCCUGACGGAGCAACGCCGCGUGAGUGAUGAAGGUUUUCGGAUCGUAAAGCUCUGUUGCCAGGGAAGAAUGUCGUGAAGAGUAACUGCUCUGCUAAUGACGGUACCUGAGAAGAAAGCCCCGGCUAACUACGUGCCAGCAGCCGCGGUAAUACGUAGGGGGCAAGCGUUGUCCGGAAUUAUUGGGCGUAAAGCGCGCGCAGGCGGUCUUUUAAGUCUGGUGUUUAAGCCCGGGGCUCAACCCCGGUUCGCACCGGAAACUGGAAGACUUGAGUGCAGGAGAGGAAAGCGGAAUUCCACGUGUAGCGGUGAAAUGCGUAGAGAUGUGGAGGAACACCAGUGGCGAAGGCGGCUUUCUGGACUGUAACUGACGCUGAGGCGCGAAAGCGUGGGGAGCAGACAGGAUUAGAUACCCUGGUAGUCCACGCCGUAAACGAUGAGUGCUAGGUGUUAGGGGUUUCGAUACCCUUGGUGCCUAAGUAAACACAAUAAGCACUCCGCCUGGGGAGUACGCUCGCAAGAGUGAAACUCAGAGGAAUUGACGGAUACCCGCACAAGCAGUGAAGUAUGUGAUUUAAUUCGAAGCAACGCAAAGAACCUUACCAGGUCUUGACAUCCCUCUGAAAGUCCUAGAGAUAGAGUCCUCCUUCCGGACAGAGGUGACAGGUGGAGCAUGGUUGCCGGCAGCUCGUGUCCUGAGAUGUUGGGUUAAGUCCCGCAACCAGCGCAACCCUUGACUUUAGUUGCCAGCAUUCAGUUGGGCACUCUAGAAUGACUGCCGGACACCAACCGAAAGAAGGUGG